This is a non-coding RNA of Pteropus alecto (black flying fox), 45 nucleotides long. Lineage: Eukaryota; Metazoa; Chordata; Mammalia; Chiroptera; Pteropodidae. The record is from Rfam.
ACAAAGGCUCUUCUUAGAGCUACAUUGUACUGAUUAGAAAAGUUG